Long non-coding RNA from Mustela lutreola (European mink), 438 nucleotides. RefSeq lists it as uncharacterized. Lineage: Eukaryota; Metazoa; Chordata; Mammalia; Carnivora; Mustelidae. The record is from RefSeq and is a predicted model, not a curated record. The transcript is spliced from 3 exons.
UCUCUAGGAGUCCUCCUUCUUACUCCUAAGCCCCAGAAAAGCAUCCCCAUGCAGAUAAACCCAUGAGAGGAGCCCUGAGUCCACCACUUCAAACACUUCACCAUAUCUGGAAUUUCGUCAGGCAGCUCCCUGCCCUCACAUGCAUGGAACUCACAACGGCUUCCUAGAGCCUUGAUCUUCAAUCUGACCACCACCUCUGUGCAGGAAAGGUCCAGUCUGAAAGAGGAAGACCCAAAUAUGCGAGAAACAAGGCAAGCACAAGAGAAAUCUGCAGUAUUUCAAUAUGUGGAGCUUUGGAGGUAUUGACCCGUGGAUCUGGGUCGAACAGGACUCUCAGACUUCAGCCUCACGUUCCCUAGGACUUUGCAGGAGGCUUCCUUGUUUCAGCUGGAUUUGAACCUGGAGAAGCUGGGAGCUCCCCUGCAUCCUAAGAAUGAA